GCUAUACUGCAGUCGAGCGAGUUCUCGUUGAUGAUCGGUGCUUGCACCGAGAUUCAACAUGGAACGAGUGGCGGACGGGUGAGUAACACGUGGGUAACCUGCCCUUAAGUGGGGGAUAACAUUUGGAAACUUAUGCUAAUACCGCAUAAAUCCAAGAACCGCAUGGUUCUUGGCUGAUAGAUGGCGUAAGCUAUCGCUUUUGGAUGGACCCGCGGCGUAUUAGCUAGUUGGUGAGGUAAUGGCUCACCAAGGCGAUGAUACGUAGCCGAACUGAGAGGUUGAUCGGCCACAUUGGGACUGAGACACGGCCCAAACUCCUACGGGAGGCAGCAGUAGGGAAUCUUCCACAAUGGACGCAAGUCUGAUGGAGCAACGCCGCGUGAGUGAAGAAGGCUUUCGGGUCGUAAAACUCUGUUGUUGGAGAAGAAUGGUCGGCAGAGUAACUGUUGUCGGCGUGACGGUAUCCAACCAGAAAGCCACGGCUAACUACGUGCCAGCAGCCGCGGUAAUACGUAGGUGGCAAGCGUUAUCCGGAUUUAUUGGGCGUAAAGCGAGCGCAGGCGGUUUUUUAAGUCUGAUGUGAAAGCCCUCGGCUUAACCGAGGAAGCGCAUCGGAAACUGGAAACUUGAGUGCAGAAGAGGACAGUGGAACUCCAUGUGUAGCGUAAAUGCGAUAUAUAUGAAAGAUACCAGAGCCCAAUGGGCUGUCUGGUCUGUAACUGACCUGAAACUCGAAGCUUGUGUAUUGAACAGAUAAAUAACCUUGGUAACCCCACAAUCA
Molecule: ribosomal RNA, 781 nt
Filed under: Lacticaseibacillus casei
Lineage: Bacteria; Bacillati; Bacillota; Bacilli; Lactobacillales; Lactobacillaceae
Description: bacterial SSU rRNA
Rfam family: Bacterial small subunit ribosomal RNA
Source: RNAcentral